This 472-nucleotide long non-coding RNA is filed under the name Bos taurus (domestic cattle). RNAcentral describes it as "long non-coding RNA NONBTAT005566". The record is from RNAcentral. Lineage: Eukaryota; Metazoa; Chordata; Mammalia; Artiodactyla; Bovidae.
UAUGUAAAUAACUCUUGACGGGAAGAAAAUAUAUUAAUGUAAGAUUAGUCUCCUAUCAGUGAACAGAACAAAUACAUCAUUUAAAUUUAUGUUCUACUUGGAGUUGCUGCAAAUAUAGCCCCAUUUUUUUUUACUUGUGAGAGAUGUGAUAGUUAAAGAAAUCUACUAAAGCAUGAUUUAUGGCACUCUUUCUAAUAUUGUACUUUUGUUAUAAAUUGUACUCUGACCUUUUUCUCAGGCACUCACGCCUCCCCUUCUUGCAGGAACCGUUUCCAUAAAGAGAUAUAUUGGCUUUUGAUAGAGACAUAAAGCAGAAAGAUUUUCAUUCUUUUUUUUUUAUUUUCAUUCUUAUAUGGCUAUAUUAUCAUUUGUUUAAGAGAUGGGAGGGAAAUUGAUCACUGAGAUGCAUGGAUUUGAACUUUAUAUCUGAUGCUUUAGAAUCUUAAAAAUAGGAAAGCACAGUUCUGAUCAA